Molecule: unclassified non-coding RNA, 212 nt
Filed under: Hevea brasiliensis (rubber tree)
Lineage: Eukaryota; Viridiplantae; Streptophyta; Magnoliopsida; Malpighiales; Euphorbiaceae
Source: RNAcentral
AAAUAAACUAGAGAUUAAUAUGUGGGUUUUGCUAUAUUUUAAGGACUUGGUUGUAAAUUAUCAAUUUUUUUUUUAACAUAAAGCUAGUACUCUAGGAAAGGAUAUUAGAUGGUCAUAUUAUUAUUGGUGUCUGGUUGUAUUUUAGUCUCAGGUUGUCCCUUUCAUGGGUCAUGCAGGUUGUUAAUUCCUAGUGUGUCUUGCGGUUGAGGUCA